This 253-nucleotide ribosomal RNA is filed under the name uncultured bacterium. RNAcentral describes it as "partial 16S ribosomal RNA". It matches the Rfam family "Bacterial small subunit ribosomal RNA", at positions 524 to 776 of the family's 1533-position model. The record is from RNAcentral.
UACGUAGGGUGCGAGCGUUGAUCGGAAUUACUGGGCGUAAAGCGUGCGCAGGCGGUUCGUUAAGUCAGAUGUGAAAGCCCCGGGCUCAACCUGGGAACUGCAUUUGAAACUGGCGGGCUUGAGUGUGGCAGAGGGGGGUGGAAUUCCGCGUGUAGCAGUGAAAUGCGUAGAUAUGCGGAGGAACACCGAUGGCGAAGGCAAUCCCCUGGGCCUGCACUGACGCUCAUGCACGAAAGCGUGGGGAGCAAACAGG